This 6654-nucleotide long non-coding RNA is filed under the name Lactuca sativa (garden lettuce). RNAcentral's name for it is "long non-coding RNA (LSAT_LNC005229)". Lineage: Eukaryota; Viridiplantae; Streptophyta; Magnoliopsida; Asterales; Asteraceae. The record is from RNAcentral.
GAGAGUUGUAACGCCCUGUUUAUUUAAAUAAAUUAAUAAGUGUAAGUACUGGACUAAUUUGUAAAGAAUUUAAAAGUUGGAGGUUAAAAGUAUAAAAUCUGGAUUUAAUAUGUAAGUAUUAUGGAAGUGUAACACCGUGAUUUCCAAAAACAAAAUUUUCAUUUAAAUAAUCAAUUUAAUAUUAAAACACUUGUUUAAAAUCUUAUUCACAUUCGAAUUACAAAACAUAGUUUCUUUUUCGUUAUAAUAGAAGACCAGGAUCCUCCAAAACACAACUCUUUCUUCGGUGUGUACAAUCGAACCGUUGCCAUCCCGCGUUACUGUAAGAACCUGAAACAACAUAACAUAAACAACGUAAGCACGAAGCUUAGUGAGUUCCCCAAUAUACCUUACGCACAUACGCCUUCCGGCCCGGAUCUUUCGAUCCACAUAAUUUUGCCUUCCGGCCCGGAUCUUUCGAUCCACAUAACAUCGCCUUCCGGCCCGGAUCUUUCGAUCCACAUAACAUCGCCUUCCGGCCCGGAUCUUUCGAUCCACAUAACAUUGCCUUCCGGCCCGGAUCUUUCGAUCCACAUAACAUCGCCUUCCGGCCCGGAUCUUUCGAUCCACAUAACAUUGCCUUCCGGCCCGGAUCUUUCGAUCCACAUAACAUCGCCUUCCGGCCCGGAUCUUUCGAUCCACAUAACAUUGCCUUCCGGCCCGGACCUUUCGGUCCACAAGAUAAUUGCCUUCCGGCCCGUACACAUAUAUAACACAUAAUACAAGUACUCUAACACAUAAAGCACAUACACCACAUAUCAUACCUGACCUUUCUGUCACAUAAUACUUUGCCUUCCGGCCCAUAUAUAAGCAUGUAUAUCACGCGUAGCAGCUAACUUUCCAUUUAUAGCAUAUAACAUAACACAUAACAUACUUGACCUUCCGGUCACACAAUCAAACCCUUCCGGGUGAGGUAUAGUGAGAAGACUCACCUCGCGGACACUGGAAGAUAGCAACUCCUAAAAUCCCUUGCACUUGAUCCUCCGAGCUACAAGCUCCCUGUAACAUCAUAUAUCCCUUAUUUAAUACUUCUAUCUUCCACGUUAACUGACCCUAAGAAUCACACCAGUCAACUCUGGUCAACAGUCCAAUGUCAGCUCGACUGGACUCGGCGAGUUCCCUGGCGACUCGGCGAGUCUGGUCGUCCUUCAAUCCUCUGAGAUUCCCCUUCUACUCGUCGAGUAUCCUCUUUGACUCGACGAGUCACUCCUGGAAGAAUCGCGGGGCCACCCCGACUCCACUCGCCGAGUCUGAAGAACAACUCGGCGAGUCCCAGUGAAUCUUCAAGCUACUCGCCGAGUCUGAUCAUCCGACUCGGCGAGUCCACGCCAUGCAGUCGAUCCAACUGCUUCCUGAGAUACGUUUUUCCCGAGAUACACACUCAUGGGACUUCUGGACCUCUAAUCAUCCUAUUACUAGGGUAGAAACCUUUGUAUAACAACAUAAUAAUCCAUCAAAUCUCCAAAUGGGUUUCAUAAACCCUAAAUUCGUGUACACAUCAAAAUAACAGGAAUGAUCCGAAACCUUACCUGAAAACAUACUCUCUGUGUCCCCAAACCUCAGAACUCGACCCCCUUGCUCUUCCUUUGGCCAAAAUCCUUCCUCUUCUUGCACCACAAUUCCUUCAAAGUCAAUAAUGGCCUUCAAGUUUUGCUCCAGAUGCCACAGUCGUCUAGGGUUCUCCACAAUCGGCCAAAAGACGUGAAAUGACGACAAAACAACCCUUAAAUACGACCCAAUACGAAACGGCUAGGGUUUCUGCUGAACAGCGUCGACUCGCCGAGUCCAUACCUGGACUCGUCGAGUCCAGUCGCGAACCCGCGACCAAAUCUGCGACCCUACUCGGCGAGUCUGGCUCCAACUCGCCGAGUCUCCCCUUUAAAACACCCCAAAAUGCAAUUUAACAAUACUUGAGAUUUUGGGCUGUUACAAUUCUCCCCCACUAGAAUUAGACUUCGCCCUCGAAGUCUCACUCUGAAAAUAGUUCUGGAUGCUGCUCCCGCAUCACACGUUUCGGCUUCCCUAAACACUUCCGAUAUCUUCCGAGGCCGCUACUGAACCAAUACCAGAGGUACCUCCUUGUUCCUCAGAACCUUGAUCUUCCGAUCUCCGACGGCCACUGGCCUCUCGACGUAACACAGGCUCGCAUCCACCUAAUCGUUCUCUAGUAGAACCACUGCUGACUCAUCCGCUAUACACCUCUUCAACUGCGACACAUACCAGUGUCAUGGAUCCGUCCCAAUUCCGUUGACAGCUCCAAACGAUAGGCCACCCUUCCUACCUUCGCACCUUCACGAAAAGACCCAACAUACCGGGGCCCCCCAUUUACCCCUCUUCCUAAAUCGAAGCACCCCGUCAGAAAUACGAAGUCGCUGACCUGAAUCACAUGCUCGUAACGGCGUCUGCCUGCAUAACUUUCCUGUUAACUCUAGACGAUCACUAACUCUCUUUAACCUGCUGAGUCUGCUUUGUCAACUAAAGUACGAACUCUGAACUGCUCAUCACUCUCUGUAAUCGGAAAUUACCCAAGAUGCACUCUGCUCCAAAUCUCAACGAUCACUCAACCCAUAAGGGUUAGGAAACCCUGAACCACCGGAUCCCCGAUCCAAAGCCCACUUUGCCCAUUCCGGACCGACUGAGAGAUCCGUUCUCCCUCUCAGAUCAACUCUCACAAGUUCCCUCUUGCCAUCACAUACACAUACUGAACUAGUCCCAACACCCGCAGGUGGAAAGACCCGAUACACUGAUGAUAUCCUCGAACAUCUCCCAAGAUGAACCACUACAUCCACCCUACACUCUGAUCAGAUUCACACUGAGAAUUUAAAAUUUUCUCUCUCCAUGCAUCCCUUCUGAGCCUCAACAGACAUCCCAACCGGAUGGGUUCCUACUCCACUGCCGCGAACACGAUGCUCAAAACCAUACUCGAAAUACUCUAACCAUAACUCUGCUCUGCAGCUUUCACUUUCGUGAACUUGCACCCCCUUCGGAGUUACAUACCCUCCUCUUUUCCUUUUCCACGGAACUCUCUUGAACAUAAUGCCACUCCAACCGGUGCCACGGUGCUCGCCCCAAGCGACACCACCCUUUUUGCGUAACUGCUAUCCACAUACUCUGGUUCUCAUUGCAGGGGCUCUCAAUCCCAUGCACUCUCUCCACUCAUCAAAAUCACUGCCUCCGCUAAACAAGAUCAAUAACCCGGGGCCAGACCUUCCAAUGCAAUCACACUGCAACAUACGCGAUCCGCAAAUCUCAAACUAAUCCAGCAAUACCAACAGAGUCUCCAGUAUGACUGGACCGACUCUCAUAACACAUACUAGCCACUCGAGGCUAUAUCUCUGUGGGUCCGUACACCCAAACUCUGCGAACCCUCAGGUUCUAACUCUGGGAACCUUCCGGUUCCAGCUCUAGAAACAUGCACAACAUAAUCCCGUGGGAUUAAUGCAGUACAACCCAUCACGUACCUCAAACGUACCAAUACUCUGAUCGCAAAAUUCCGAUUACUUACUCAAGCUUGAUCCCGACCUCCUCUCAGGCCUCCACAAUCAAAUGCCCUAGGUCUGUAUCUCGCCCCGCAUACUCAACACUCGCUCUCGUCGGCCUAUACUUUGCGCUGACAAACACUGCUGAAUCCCAACAGCUAAGCACCCUUACAUACUCAUCGAUCUCCCGGAGAAUUUUACAAUUCUCCCCCACUAAAGCACUGACUAACUGCCACCGGUCGUCAUUAACGACCUUACAGAACAAUCCUGUACAAAGAGAACAAUUACACACUGACUGCUUCCCACAAGCACAAGCAACCCUCAGCAAAACACACCUCCUCCCUGAUCAACCCACUCACAAGAAUCUAGUCCUUCAAUCAUCCACUCCACGACUGUAGAUGCUACCCGACAAUCAACCCAGUGCCGCAUCUCCCCUAACAACCCCCACGAACGAUAACCAAAGGAAUCCUCGACAAUAACCCAUAACCAAACUCACAAUCUGCCCAAAGGAUGAACACCACAUCGAAAACCGCACAAGACUACUGACACUAAAACACCAAUUAUAACCAUACCCAACCAUCAGGGAAUAACGAAUGCCAAAGCGAAAACCUGAAGCACCAAUCCAUAACCAUGCCAGACCCGCGAAACAACGAAUACCGCAUCGAAAUCCAUACAAGAUACCAGCACAAACAAUACGCCAAAUCAAUGCCAGACAAUUAAGACAUCAUGAAAGCAUCAUACCCGCAGCUGUCUCCGGCACUGCUCCGUCUCCCUCUGUCGCACGCAGAUAAACACGACCCUGAGCCCUCUGGGGCUCCGCUUCAUCCUGUCCUCCUCAAAUCCCGAAUUGGCACUGACUGCCAACUAUCCCGUGCACAGUGCCCCUCCUUUCCGCACUUGCGGCAUGCACCAUUGGGCCAACAAGCUCCGGUGCCAUCUCUCUCACACUUCCCACAAGUGUGACCGCUCCGAUCCCCCAUUUCAACGUCUACGGUCCUGAACCGUUUCGGCGCCGACUGCGACUGCAUCGGGGCCUGUCCCAGCUCACGCAACUGCAACUUAACCUCUAACUCACGCCACAUGGCGGCCUUCUGCAACUCCAACAGGGUCUCGCACCUCCGCGCAGACACGAACUGUCUGAUACCCCCUUGAGCUUACUCGAAUAUCGGGCAUCUGAGCCUGCUCCGAAGCGAACUCAGGGCAAAACAUCGCCCUCUCAAUAAACAUCCCGGUGCUCUCAGUCACCGACUCCAAAUCCUGCUUCAGCUUAAGGAACUUCCGAGCCAAUUUCUCCUUUUCAUCCCGCGGAACAUAGCGAGUACUGAACAUCCCUCUGAAUUGAUCCCAUGAAACCGCAGCCCUCUGCGCAUCGGAAAAUGACCUCGUGGUCAAUCUCCACCAAUCCUUCGCCCCGAGCCUCAAUAGGUUCAGAGCACACCCCACCCUCUGAUCAGCAGGGCAUAAACUCGUGGAGAAACACCCCUCCAUGUCUGAUAACCAUCUCAUAGCAACAAUCGAGUCCUGAACUCCAUCGAAUGUGGGAGGCUUCGCAUAAUAGAAGUCCCGAUACUGAAAACCCCGACUAGCCCCUUUCUUUGCCGUUGCUACAGCCGCUGUAACCGCCGCGGCAGCCGUCUCUGCGAAAGCCGCAUAUCGCUCAUCAAACUACUUCAAUCAUAGUGGUCCUGAUCGACCCAAACAAUUCUGGCGACUCAGCCCGCAACAAUGCAGCAACCUCAUCACGCCGGAUCUCGCGAAUCCUCGCAUCCCGCUCGCUCGUGCUCGUCCGAUCGAUAACCGGAUAACAAGAUAGCCACAAGCAUCAUCCACUACGAACCAUGGUACUCAUCCCAUGACAUCCUUCCUCAACAUGCUUCGGUGUAUGGUACCUGAACCAUAGCACCAUUCCUCAACCUGCUCCAAUGUAUAGCACUCGAACCACAACAUCUAUCUCAAUCUGUUCCGAUGUAUGGUGCCCUGACCAUAACAUCACUCUGUAUCCGCUCCGAUGUAUGGUAUCCGAACCAUAACAUCACCCCUCAAUCUGUUCCUUAGGACCUUCAGAAUGCCCCCUGUAUCAAGUAUGGGUCCUCUGCUUUCAGUAGUACGGGCCCAUACUACCUGCCACAUCUACCCAUACUUUCCACACGGACCAUCCCAGAGUUCCUAAGUAGCUGAUAAACCUGCUCUUUCACCCAUCUCAUCGCGCGUGCUCGCUUUCCAGCGAAAUCCUCUACUCUACCAGCGCACUCAUCUGGCUAGGUUUACUCCCUAGUCCCUUCCGCUGUCCUCCCACUUCUUUGCUAUCAGCUGCUGAAGAGUUCCUAAUGAUGCCAGCCCUCUACCUCCUGAGUAUCGUCAUACUCACUUAGUAGCUGACUCCCAUCAUCGAUAACUCCACAAAGCACAAAGCAAGCAGCAUUCGAGCAUUGAAGCAUACAUAGGACUCCCCAUCUGUGGUAGCUCCACCUUCUCGGCUCAUCCUCGGAAGUACCUCUGUACCCCGUAGCUUUACCCCUUGUGCGUUCUAACUAGAUACUCUCACUCAUCACAUACACACAAAAGCAUAACGCACAUAUAACAGCAAACCCUAGACUAAGGCAUCACAAAUCAGGCCACUCUAGUCCUAAGAUGUGAAAUACCUAGCCUGUCUCUAGCAUGCAAUAAUGUCUCAUAAAGUGCAUAAUAGAUAUUUCAUAAUACAAAAGUAAGGGUAUUUUGGGAAAUCACCGUUUGGCUCUGGCUGAUUGUACACACUGCUCUUUCUUGCUUUCUCUUUGAACUCUUAUUCACUUUUAGAAAACCAUUUAUUUGGAAAACUUUUUCUUACUUCCUCAGUUUGAGUCCAGAUUUACCCGUAGGCGCGUCCGAAUCCCUCAAACCAAGGCUCUGAUACCAAUUUGUAACACCGUGAUUUCCAAAAACAAAAUUUUCAUUUAAAUAAUCAAUUUAAUAUUAAAAACACUUGUUUAAAAUCUUAUUCACAUUCGAAUUACAAAACAUAGUUUCAUUUUCAUUAUAAUAGAAGACCAGGAUCCUCCAAAACACAACUCUUUCUUCGGUGUGUACAAUCGAACCGUUGCCAUCCCGCGUUACUGUAAGAACCUGAAACAACAUAACAUAAACAACGUAAGCA